This is an RNA transcript of Durio zibethinus, 1955 nucleotides long. It is a transcript of the gene named protein REVEILLE 3-like, with no coding region annotated. NCBI's taxonomy places the organism in Eukaryota, Viridiplantae, Streptophyta, Magnoliopsida, Malvales, Malvaceae. The record is from RefSeq and is a predicted model, not a curated record.
CCUCUCCCCCCACCACAAAACAAAACUCAUUCUCUCCCUUCGGUCUAUAUAAAAUGCUCAAUUGUCAAAUCCUCACCACAUCUCGUCUCUAGCAUCUGUCUGACUUUCGAAAGAACGAAUAUCAAAAAGAAAACCAAAGCCAAAGACAGGAACAGAAAUUAAAAUCCAAAAUUAGAUUGUUUUCUCUUUUAUUUACUGCCAAUUACUGUUUGGGAAUUUCAAGCUUAUGGUGUCCGUGAACCCUACCCCGAUUCAAGGGUUUUACUUUUUCGAUCCCAUGAAUAUGGGUCUUCCUGGUCUUAAUUCUAUGCCGCCUGCCAAUACGGUGGCGUCGCCUCAUCCUCCUCCUGCUGUUUCCUCCAUGUCCACGUCCUGUGCUGGUAAUACGAUGGCCUAUUCGGAGGAUCCCAAUAAGAAGAUCCGGAAGCCUUACACUAUUACCAAGUCUAGAGAGAGCUGGACUGAGCAGGAGCACGAUAAGUUUCUAGAAGCUCUUCAAUUAUUUGAUCGUGAUUGGAAGAAGAUUGAAGCAUUUGUUGGGUCGAAGACAGUGAUCCAGAUCCGUAGCCAUGCACAGAAGUAUUUCCUAAAGGUUCAGAAAAAUGGGACAAGCGAACAUGUACCUCCCCCUCGACCAAAAAGGAAAGCAGCUCAUCCAUACCCACAAAAGGCUCCCAAAAAUGCUUCUGUUGUACCCCAAGUUGCUGGACCAUUUCAGUCUUCAUCUGCCUUGCUUGAAUCUGGUUAUACGUACGGAAUAGAUUCAUCAUCAAUGCUUGGAAAUCCUGUUCCCACUGCAGCUUUGUCUUCUUGGGGUUACAACUCUGCACCGCCUGUCUCUGUACCUCAAGUGACUAAAGAUGAAGCAGUAUUGGCUGGGCCAACUAUUGUGCAUAAUUCUUGUUACAGUAGCAGUAAUGAAAGCACUCCCAGAACUUGGUCAUUUGGUGAAACAAUUGACCAAGGAGAUCACGGGAAGCAAUCUAGAGUUAUGCCAGAUUUUGCUCAGGUGUACGGAUUCAUUGGCAGUAUAUUUGACCCCAGUGCAAGUGGGCACUUGCAGAAGUUGAAGCAGAUGGACCCAAUAAAUUUGGAAACUGUGGUGUUGUUGAUGAGAAAUCUCUCUGUCAAUUUGACAAGCCCUGAGUUUGAGGAUCAUAGAAGGUUGCUUUCAACAUAUGAGGCAGAGUCUGAGUGUGUUAAACUUGGUAGUUCGUACAAUGACAUUCACACUCAUAAAUCAGCUAGUGCUGUUCCAACAGCAUAAUAGAGCUGAAGGGCUGUAAUAUUAAAUCUGGCCUUCCAAUGUUCGAAUUCAAGGUUUUACUUUUGCAGACAGGAAUUUCACAUGGUCUAAUUUCAUGUUUUAUAAUCAUUAGUCGGAGAAUUCAGAUCAUAGCUAAACUGAUUAGUUUCAAGUUCAAAAUUAUCAUGGUGGAGUCCAGCCAAAUGGUAACAGACUCGAGCUUCCCCAUGAUUUGUGAAAAGGUGUUGGACUCUUUUAAAGAAAUUGAUCACUGGUUAGAUUCAAGCGAUAGGGUACGUGAAAGUACCAACUGGUUUCUUGUAUUCUGUCUGGGUUUUUCUUUCUCAAAAGUAUAUUAUAAUGUAAAUAACAGGCAUCAUUUCUUCUUAGAUACAAUAACUCUAAAAGGGGUUACAAAUUGGGAAGUAGGCUUCAAUUCAAACUAGGCCAAGUGCUUGAAGAUAAUAGGAUCAUUUUUGUCUCUUGCCAGAAAUUAUCUGGUGACCAAAUUCUUCAGUCCGCUUCUUGUUUGUCUUUAUAUCAGACUUUAACACGUGAUUCAAUUGCUCAACAAACAAUGUUAUUUAAGUGUUGGUAUCCCAAAAGUUCCGCACUCUUCCCAAACAAGUGAUUUAUUGUUUACCCUUUGGCCCCUUCAACGUUAAGAGAAAAAAAAAAAGGGCAAUUGCAACCAAAAGCCAGUUUCAUG